Molecule: ribosomal RNA, 409 nt
Filed under: uncultured Pseudomonadota bacterium
Lineage: Bacteria; Pseudomonadati; Pseudomonadota
Description: bacterial SSU rRNA
Rfam family: Bacterial small subunit ribosomal RNA
Source: RNAcentral
CGGCAUGCCUAACACAUGCAAGUCGAACGCUAUCUUGUAUAGAGUGGCGCACGGGUGAGUAACGCGUGGGAACCUGCCUUUCUCUGCGGGACAACGGUUGGAAACGACCGCUAAUACCGCAUACGCCCUACGGGGGAAAGGUCAGCCGGAGAAAGAGGGGCCCGCGUUAGAUUAGCUGGUUGGUGGGGUAAUGGCCUACCAAGGCGACGAUCUAUAGCUGGUCUGAGAGGAUGAUCAGCCACACUGGGACUGAGACACGGCCCAGACUCCUACGGGAGGCAGCAGUGGGGAAUAUUGGACAAUGGGGGCAACCCUGAUCCAGCAAUGCCGCGUGUGUGAUGAAGGCCCUAGGGUUGUAAAGCACUUUCACUGGUGAAGAUGAUGACGGUAACCAGAGAAGAAGCCCCGG